AUUGAAUAACAAUAUAAAAUCAAUUAAAAACGAUUCGUUUUCUCAUCUCGUUGCCUUGACUAAACUGACCAAUUGGAUGAAGUUUAGGCUUAAUUAUUACCAUGCGGAUUUUUAAUUUUGCUUCUAAUAUACGUACUGACGUAAACUAUGAGGGAUUUAGGUUCUAACCAACUAACCUUCAUCAGCAAAGGAAUGUUUUCUGGCCUUGAGCUUUAUGGAAUUAGACAUUAAAAUCAAUUGAAGACGAUUCGUUUUCACAUCUCGUGGCCUUGACUGAACUGGAUCUUGGAGGAAACUCUAUUACUAGUAUUCCUUCUCUUUGUUUCGUGUGGCUAACGAAGUUAACUUUACUGGAUCUUGAAGGAAAUCCUCUAACUGAGAUUGUGGCUAAAGCUUUUGUGGCUUCCUGGUACCCUCAUGGCAUUAAAUUAAAAUCAAAAUUUUCUUUGCUGCUCGCGGGCGCUCUACAAUGAAUUAGUCAAUGUUAAUGGAAACUGCACUUUUAAAGGAAACCUAGAAAUCUUUCUUGCUUUUAAUAAAACUAAGUGCUAUACAUCAAGUAAGCCAGGAUCUACACACACCACGAGUAUCAAUACUGAAAUUUCCUCCUGAUCCCCCUAUAGUGGGGUAGGGAUAGUAAAUAAACCCAUUUAGUACGUAUUACGCUCCCUUUUACUUGGUGGUA
Molecule: long non-coding RNA, 685 nt
Organism: Zophobas morio
Lineage: Eukaryota; Metazoa; Arthropoda; Insecta; Coleoptera; Tenebrionidae
Exons: 6
Source: RefSeq, a predicted model, not a curated record